RNAcentral lists this ribosomal RNA (223 nucleotides) under uncultured Carnobacteriaceae bacterium. Its description in RNAcentral is "partial 16S ribosomal RNA". It matches the Rfam family "Bacterial small subunit ribosomal RNA", at positions 116 to 334 of the family's 1533-position model. The record is from RNAcentral. Lineage: Bacteria; Bacillati; Bacillota; Bacilli; Lactobacillales; Carnobacteriaceae.
CGUGAGGAACUUGCCCAUGAGCGGGGACAACAUUCGGAAACGGAUGCUAAUACCCCAUAGGUGGAUUGGUCGCAUGACUAAUUCAUUAAAGGUGGCUCUGCUACCACUCAUGGAUAGCCUCGCGGCGUAUUAGCUAGUUGGUAAGGUAAUGGCUUACCAAGGCAGUGAUACGUAGCCGACUUGAGAGGGUGAUCGGCCACACUGGGACUGAGACACGGCCCAG